Molecule: long non-coding RNA, 553 nt
Filed under: Zea mays
Lineage: Eukaryota; Viridiplantae; Streptophyta; Magnoliopsida; Poales; Poaceae
Description: long non-coding RNA (ZMAY_LNC002876)
Source: RNAcentral
GUCUCAGGAACGGCUAACCCGGCAACAUGACCACCGCAGAAUUCCGUCAGGACCAUGCAACGUUUGUCGCCGCCAACUCCGGCAGUGCCGUGACCGUGCCAUGCCGCGAGAGCGAUAAAUUCUCAGGCGGCUUGUUGGGCUCGGUGGCCGGAGAGCAUGGCAGAAUUCCGUUAGAGCUCGGUGGCCGGCGGACAGCCAGGUUUCAGGUCACCGACGUGCACGUGCACGGCAUAUAGCAGUAGCAGCAGCAGGCAGAUAUGGCACAUGUGCUCCAGUGCACGCGACAUGAAACAGAACCGUUUGGAACCAAGCAGCCAAACCGCUGCAGGGCCGCCUGUAUGGCUAUGGACUAUGGCACAUGUACACGUCUCCUGGCCCGCCUCAACUCGCAUCUCAUCAGCUCUCUAUGCUACGGUGGUCUCUACAGCAACUGCACUGACAUGCACUCAAUUCAAUCAUCUACACCUACACGCAGGCAGCAGGGGAGCAGAGACAGAGAGGUCUAGGCCAUCCUGAGCGCCUCCCUGAACCCGAUACUGAAGCUGUUCUGCAG